Molecule: long non-coding RNA, 1263 nt
Filed under: Panthera leo (lion)
Lineage: Eukaryota; Metazoa; Chordata; Mammalia; Carnivora; Felidae
Description: lncRNA (ENSPLOG00000001871.1)
Source: RNAcentral
CUACGACAAAACACUGCAGAUACGGCGUGCUCAGUUUCAUGCCAGGUAUUCUGAAACAGAACAGGAAAGGGGGACAGUGUCUUGCCCUUAACCUCCUUCUGGUGGAUGAGGCGGACAACAAGCAAGCAAACCUGUGCCCUGUUGUCCAGCUGUGCCCCGUGUUCGGAAGAAAAGUCCAAGCAGGGUCAGAGGUGUGAGCUGUUUUAGGCCAGGGAAGUCCGGCCUCCCAAGGAGGCAGCAUUUGAGCAGCGAACUGAAUGGAGGACCGAAGGAUGGAGCAGAGCAGGCACCCGGGAGGAGGACGGGAGAUUUGUGCUUUCCCCGGGUCCUGCCUGCCGUCUUCUGGCUGGAGACGGUGGCUGGGGGAGCCGGAGAUCAGGAGCGUGUUGCAGUGAGAACCGAGUCCCUGACGCGGGCUCCAAGCGGAUUGGAGGGUCGGUGGCAAGUGGAGCCAGGAGAGGGUGCUGUCGGACUGCUUGUGGGCAGCCGGCAAAGGGAUCAGUCAGCUGGUCGGCCCCACUGGGUGGAGGCACAGGUUCCCGAGAAGGGGAGGGGAGAUGCUCCGGAGGAGAGUCGCGUCCUGCCCUUGACCUAGCAAGGCUUUCCGAGGCGGUAGACCCGCAUGACCUGGCCCCUGCGCUGUCUGGCCGCCUCCUGCCGCCGCUGGAGUUUCCCAGCCGCACCGGCCUUGUGCUGCCUGUUGAGGGCUCCUGUCCUUGCCCGAAUAGCCCCACUGCAGCUGAGAGGUGGGACAGAGUCCAGCCCGAAGCAGGUAAGAAGUGGAAACUGUGUGUACACAGAACUCCUGAGAAACGUGGAUGGACAGGCGCAGGUUCAAGGCUGGGUCUUCCCUUCUUAAGCCGGCUGACGGGAAGGCGUGUCCUGUGCUGGUGGCCGCACCCGGGGAGGCGGUGCCCUCUCCAGCUGUGGGAAACAUGGCCAGACCCCCCCCCCCCCCCCCCCCGCCCUCUCUGCGCUCACUGCUGCAAAGCCUCUUUCCAUCCUUCGCAGAACCGAGAGGCUCUGUGGCCUCUGGUAACCGACCAGAAGCAUGAGACACCCCAAGAAUUCUUCCCUCCUGAGGUUUCUCAAGCCAGGGAGCAAGGAGGUACAGCACUGCCAUCAUUUCCCUGGGGAGCGCCUGCCAUCUGCAGCCCAGUGCACGCCCCCCUGCCCCUGCCCAGAUCCCCUCCUCGCCUUCCCUCCCCAGCCAGAGUCCUGAGCUCUGUGCCAGGCCACCUCCAGCCCAGCUGAGGGGCUCUC